Long non-coding RNA from Papaver somniferum (opium poppy), 154 nucleotides. RefSeq lists it as uncharacterized. Lineage: Eukaryota; Viridiplantae; Streptophyta; Magnoliopsida; Ranunculales; Papaveraceae. The record is from RefSeq and is a predicted model, not a curated record. The transcript is spliced from 3 exons.
UGAUUUUUUAAAGGAGAGCAUUCAAAGUACCACAGUUAUCAGAUUUGGGUGUUGAGGGGACUUUAUCGACUUGAUGACAGAGUUUUCAUAAGUAAAUCCGGGCUUGAUGACUUCACAGGUUUGCAUUCUACAUUGACACCAGCUUUGGCAGUCG